RNAcentral lists this long non-coding RNA (267 nucleotides) under Olea europaea (common olive). Its description in RNAcentral is "long non-coding RNA (OEUR_LNC001465)". Lineage: Eukaryota; Viridiplantae; Streptophyta; Magnoliopsida; Lamiales; Oleaceae. The record is from RNAcentral.
UCCAUUCAAAUAUCCCAUCGAACUAAUAAUUCAAAAUCAUGAAAUAGCAAGUUUAAUAAUAAUUACAUGGUUCAUCGAUCACCUAGUUGCAAAAAUCUAGCCUAUCAUGAUAAAAAUAACGAAAUCUAACAAAGUAUGAAUAAAAUACAUCACCGGGUUAUCAAAACUUGAAUAAAUCUUCUAAAUCUUGCAUCAAUUCUUGUUCUUGCUUUCAAAUCCACUCCAAGAUGAAUAUUUUUGCCUCCCAAGUCGUUCGUGCUGCUUCUG